This 125-nucleotide small RNA is filed under the name Marmota monax (woodchuck). Lineage: Eukaryota; Metazoa; Chordata; Mammalia; Rodentia; Sciuridae. The record is from RNAcentral.
GCUGGGUGUGGUGGUCCAUGCCUGUAAUCCCAGUGUCUCAGGAGGCUGGGGCAGGAGGAUCGAGAGUUCAAAGCCAGACUCAGCAAUGGCGAGGUUCUAAGCAACUCAGUGAGACCCUGUCUCUA